CUCUAAAAUAGAAAGUUACCCAUCAUACUAUGCGCGCUCAAUGUUUAAGGUUUAAGAUUUUUGAAGGACAACCUUUCUUAUAUUAUAAAUAUUAUUUUGAGAAAGAAGUGACAAUUGUUUACGCCGCGGCAAACUAAAUGAAACGUAUAUAUGCAGUAUAUGCUUCUCGUUCAUGAUUGCAUUCACAAUUCAUUCAAUUUUUUCAGAUCUUCGCUAAAAUCCCAUUAAUCAUUCUGUUUGUUUCCUUUGUCUGAAUUGCUAGAUCAUGCUAAAAUGCAUGUUUGAUGGAACUCGCGAAACAUAUCCACCAUGAGUAUAUUAUAUGAAUAAAUGACCUUUCCCAUGACAUAUACUUAUAACUUAAUUGUAAAUGCUGCUUGCACUUGGCAUGGUC
This is a non-coding RNA of Paramuricea clavata, 394 nucleotides long. The record is from the annotation of a GenBank genome assembly. Lineage: Eukaryota; Metazoa; Cnidaria; Anthozoa; Malacalcyonacea; Plexauridae.